GUGAGGAAUUUUCCGCAAUGGGCGAAAGCCUGACGGAGCAAUGCCGCGUGAAGGAUGAAGGCCUAUGGGUUGUAAACUUCUUUUCUCAGAAAAGAAUUAUGACGGUAUCUGAGGAAUAAGCAUCGGCUAACUCUGUGCCAGCAGCCGCGGUAAGACAGAGGAUGCAAGCGUUAUCCGGAAUGAUUGGGCGUAAAGCGUCUGUAGGUUGUUUAAAAAGUAUUCUGUCAAAGAUUAGGGCUUAACCCUAGAUAGGCAGAAUAAACUUUUAAGCUAGAGUUUGGUAGAGGCAGAGGGAAUUCCCGGUGGAGCGGUGAAAUGCGUAGAUAUCGGGAGGAACACCAAAGGCGAAGGCACUCUGCUGGGCCAAUACUAACACUGAGAGACGAAAGCGAGGGGAGCAAAUGGGAUCAGAUACCCGUGUAGUCC
RNAcentral lists this ribosomal RNA (426 nucleotides) under uncultured bacterium. RNAcentral's name for it is "partial 16S ribosomal RNA". It matches the Rfam family "Bacterial small subunit ribosomal RNA", at positions 354 to 796 of the family's 1533-position model. The record is from RNAcentral.